This 1527-nucleotide long non-coding RNA is filed under the name Piliocolobus tephrosceles (Ugandan red Colobus). Its description in RNAcentral is "lncRNA (ENSPTEG00000012333.1)". The record is from RNAcentral. Lineage: Eukaryota; Metazoa; Chordata; Mammalia; Primates; Cercopithecidae.
AUGGGUUUGAAUAAUACAAAAAACGAACAAACACAAACCAGUUUUGAAAUUCGAAAUGUAGAACAAAAUAUUAUAAUUAAAGAACACAGUGUUAAUCACUUAGAAAUGGAUAAAAAAAAUAUGACCCAUAACAAUGGAAAAGAUACAAAAACAAAUGUAAAUACCGGUUGCGAUUUAGAAAAAUUAAAUUUCCAUUUAUUUCAAGAAAAUAAUAAAAAAAAUAAUAAAGAGAGUAAUAAAGAGAAUUAUAAAAAUAAAUUCGAAGAAAACAAAAUAAUAUCAUUUUUUAUUUAUUUUGAUAUUAUUAAAAAUUUACCUGAAAGAUAUUUUUACCUAAUUAAAGAUACAAAUUUUAUGAUGGAUAUUCACAAUGUGUUUAACUUUUUUAUUUAUAUAAAUAAGGAAUAUAAUAUUUUAGAAAAAAAAUAUGAAAAAUAUAAAUAUACGAAAAUUUUUAAUAAAAUUAAAGAAAAAAAAGAUUAUUAUUAUUAUAAUAAAGCUAAAAUAUAUUUUCCCAUAAUUAUAUCAGCUUUAACAUCUUCAACUUUAUAUUUUAUUCUAAAUAAAACAACCAUCUCAAUACAACAUUCAUUAAUUACGCAAUUUUAUAUUGAUUUUUUUAGUAAUAAAUAUUUAUAUACCCUAUGUAAUAACUAUAUUUAUAUACAAAUUUUAUGUGAAUCUUUAGUAGUGUUAUUGUACUUGAGCAAAUCAAAACAAGACACUACACAUAUACAAAAUGGAACUACCCACAUAAAAGGCGACACUACACACAUACAAGACGACACUAUACACAUACAAGAUAAUUACAAACAAGAGUUUAUAAAAAAUGAAUUAGAUAUACAAACAGUAAAACAACAGAAAGGUGAACAUAUGUUAAUACAAUCUUAUCAAGGAAUAAAACAAGAAUCUACAAAUCCAUUAGUUUGUAUGAAAAUAGAAAAUGAGUAUUUAAAUAGUACCAAUGAUAACAUUACUAAUGUCAGUGCAAACCAUGAUACAACAAAAAAUGUUGCUGCAACAAAUUUAAUACAUCUAUAUAAAUUAUAUACCAUUUUUUUAGAAGAAUAUUUAUAUAAUUUUAUUUCUUCAAUUAUAACACUAAUUAAAAAUAAUAGUUUAUUAUUAAACGAAUCAAGUUUUUGUAAUUUUUAUAAAACUAUAUGUAAUGAAUUAAACAAUAAAAUAAAACAAAAUAAUACAUCACAUUUUAAUACAUUAAUACUUUCAAUUCUUAAUUAUUAUGAUUCUUACAAUACAAAUACCAACUCGUUUAAAAAAUAUAAAGUAGAUAACAGAAUAAUAGAAAUAUGUGAUAUAAAAAACAAUAUUAAAAUGUUACAGAGAGUAAGAUAUAAUUUUUUAAAUACAUUUUAUCAGAAUACUCUUUCUUGCGAAUUAUAUUCAAAAGCUUAUUUAAAAAAUAUUAUUUCUGUUUUUUUUCAAAACAACAUUAAAACGUGUAAGUUGGGUAGCCAGGAUAUGGAUGGCUUAGUAAAUUUGGUUUUUAACAAUUUCCACAAAUAA